GUGCGGUGUCGUGGUUAGAUUCCUCAUUUUUAGUAGAAGAAAAAGUGAGUGGUUUUGUGCAAAAAACGCAAGGACGAGGAGACGUGUGGCCAUCACGAAGUCGGCGUAAAAAACGAAGAAAAUACGUAUUUAAUCAUCUUGCAUCGAUCAAUGGUGCUCUAAUGACACGCUUUGAAGCAAAAGAUUUGACAGUAUGUGACAAAGUUGCUAGUACUUGGCUUGCAAAUGCACCAUGGCGUAAACAACAUGAUGGCAGUGUGUAGAAGAGAACUGAUAUCUACAAUCAAUGCCUAACGAUGAAGAAAAGGCAAUCAAAAGUCCGGUUUUAGGUCGACUAUAGAGAAUUUUCUUAGGCUGUGCUCAACGCAAAAUUGUUAUCAACGCUGCAAAUGUAUUAUAUAUGUAGGUCCUUGGCAGAGCCGUAAAAUUCUCUCUAAAUGUCCGCUGCUAGUCAAGUGCUCGGUUUAUUUUUUGGACAACUAUAAGUACAACGCACGUAAGCAUUGUGAAA
Camponotus floridanus (Florida carpenter ant) is the source of this 511-nucleotide long non-coding RNA. RefSeq lists it as uncharacterized. The transcript has 2 exons. Lineage: Eukaryota; Metazoa; Arthropoda; Insecta; Hymenoptera; Formicidae. The record is from RefSeq and is a predicted model, not a curated record.